RNAcentral lists this ribosomal RNA (390 nucleotides) under uncultured bacterium. Its description in RNAcentral is "bacterial SSU rRNA". It matches the Rfam family "Bacterial small subunit ribosomal RNA", at positions 335 to 719 of the family's 1533-position model. The record is from RNAcentral.
ACUCCUACGGGAGGCAGCAGUGGGGAAUAUUGCACAAUGGGGGAAACCCUGAUGCAGCCAUGCCGCGUGUGUGAAGAAGGCCUUCGGUUGUAAAGCACUUUCAGUAGGGAGGAAGGUAGUGUAGUUAACACCUGCAUUAUUUGACGUUACCUACAGAAGAAGCACCGGCUAACUCCGUGCCAGCAGCCGCGGUAAUACGGAGGGGUGCGAGCGUUAAUCGGAAUUACUGGGCGUAAAGCGCAUGCAGGCGGCCUGUUAAGUCAGAUGUGAAAGCCCGGGGGCUUAACCUCGGAAUUGCAUUUGAAACUGGCAGGCUAGAGUCUGUAGAGGGGGUAGAAUUUCAGGUGUAGCGGUGAAAUGCGUAGAGAUCUGAAGGAAUACCAGUGCGAA